AGUGAACGCUGGCGGUAGGCCUAACACAUGCAAGUCGAACGGCAGCACAGUAAGAGCUUGCUCUUACGGGUGGCGAGUGGCGGACGGGUGAGGAAUACAUCGGAAUCUACUUUUUCGUGGGGGAUAACGUAGGGAAACUUACGCUAAUACCGCAUACGACCUACGGGUGAAAGCAGGGGAUCUUCGGACCUUGCGCGAUUGAAUGAGCCGAUGUCGGAUUAGCUAGUUGGCGGGGUAAAGGCCCACCAAGGCGACGAUCCGUAGCUGGUCUGAGAGGAUGAUCAGCCACACUGGAACUGAGACACGGUCCAGACUCCUACGGGAGGCAGCAGUGGGGAAUAUUGGACAAUGGGCGCAAGCCUGAUCCAGUCAUACCGCGUGGGUGAAGAAGGCCUUCGGGUUGUAAAGCCCUUUUGUUGGGAAAGAAAAGCAGCAGGUUAAUACCCCGCUGCUCUGACGGUACCCAAAGAAUAAGCACCGGCUAACUUCGUG
RNAcentral lists this ribosomal RNA (492 nucleotides) under uncultured bacterium. RNAcentral describes it as "partial 16S ribosomal RNA". It matches the Rfam family "Bacterial small subunit ribosomal RNA", at positions 29 to 507 of the family's 1533-position model. The record is from RNAcentral.